AUUGGACGCUGGCGGCAUGCCUUACACAUGCAAGUCGAACGGUAACAGGUCUUCGGAUGCUGACGAGUGGCGAACGGGUGAGUAAUACAUCGGAACGUGCCCAGACGUGGGGGAUAACGAGGCGAAAGCUUUGCUAAUACCGCAUACGAUCUAAGGAUGAAAGCAGGGGACCGCAAGGCCUUGUGCGUUUGGAGCGGCCGAUGGCAGAUUAGGUAGUUGGUGGGAUAAAAGCUUACCAAGCCGACGAUCUGUAGCUGGUCUGAGAGGACGACCAGCCACACUGGGACUGAGACGCGGCCCAGACUCCUACGGGAGGCAGCAGUGGGGAAUUUUGGACAAUGGGCGAAAGCCUGAUCCAGCAAUGCCGCGUGCAGGAUGAAGGCCUUCGGGUUGUAAACUGCUUUUGUACGGAACGAAAAGGCUCUGGCUAAUACCUGGGGCACAUGACGGUACCGGAAGAAUAAGCACCGGCUAACUACGUG
Molecule: ribosomal RNA, 482 nt
Filed under: uncultured bacterium
Lineage: Bacteria
Description: partial 16S ribosomal RNA
Rfam family: Bacterial small subunit ribosomal RNA
Source: RNAcentral